GUAUUCCAUUCAUUUUAAUGCUUGCAAGUGCUAAAUAAGCUACCAUGGCUCCAAAGAAAUCUCCUAGUGCCAAGCCUUUGGUAAAGAAGGUGAGAAGUAUGAUUGAAUUUAAGAAAAACAUCAUUGAACAUAAUGAAAGUGGCGUACGUGUGGGGCCAACUGGCCAGGAUGUAUAACAAAUCCCGUACAACCAUAUCUUCCAUCAUAGCCAAGAAAAAGGAAAUCAAGGAAGCUGUUGUUGCAAAGGGGGUAAAUAGGCUGACAAAAAUGAGAUCACCAUUACUCGAAGAUGUUGAGAAGUUAUUAUUGGUGUGGAUAAAUGAGAAACAAUUAGCAGGAGAUAGUCUUAUGACCAAAAGCGGCUGAAAAAUAUAUGCAGGAAUUCAUAGAGGCUGAAGGACUGAAAACUGAGCAAGUGUUCAGUUGUGACGAAACAGGCCUCUUUUGGAAGAAAAUGCCAAAGAGGACCUACAUUACUCGGGAAGAAAGGGCACUGCCAGAACACAAGCCUAUGAAAGACAGGCUGACGCUCAUGUUCUGUGCUAAUGCUAGUGGGGAUUUCAAAGUGAAGCCAUUACUAGUGUACCAUUCUGAAAAUCCCAGUGUGUUAAAGAAAAACAAUGUUUUGAAGAGUAAAUUGUGUGUUUGGGAGAUCUAAUAAUAAGGCAUGGGUCACGAGGGAAAUUUUUGUCGAGUGGUUCAAUGUGUUUGGCCCUAGUGUGAAGAAUUACCUCCUGGAAAAGAAAUUGGAUCAAGUGCCUCCUAGUAAUAGACAGUGCACCUGCUCAUCCUCCAAACUUGGAUGGCAUAAUUCUGAAGGAGUUUGGGUUCAUCACAGUAAAGUUCUUGCCCCCCGAAUACCACUCCUCUCCUCCAGCCCAUGGACCAGCAGGUCAUUUCAAACUACACCAAAGCAAUGUUUGAAAGGUGCUUUAAUGUGACCUCAGACACUCGCUUGACCUAAGAGAUUUUUGAAAAGAACACUUCAGUAUUCUCCAUUGCAUAAGCCUUAUAGGUAAGGCUUGGGAGGGAGUGACUACCAGGACUUGGAGCUCUGCUUGGAGAAAUUUGUGGCCAGAUUGUCCACAAGAGGGAUUUUGAAGGGCUUGUGGCUGACCCUGAUGAGCCUAUGUAAGUUGUGAACUCUAUUGUUGCAUUGGGAAGUUCCAUGGGGUUGGAUAUGAGUUUGGAGGAUGUGGAAGAGUUGGUGGAGGACCACAAUGAAGAGCUAACCACUGAGGAGCUGCAAGAGCUUCAACAGAUUGCAGCUCAGAAUCUUGCUGCAGAGGAGGAGGAAGAGAGAUAGAAGAAGUUGCCUUCUUCAGAAAUUAAGGAGACUUUUGAAAUGUAGGGUAGGAUGGAAAGAUUUAUGGAGAAACAUCACCCUGAGAAGGAUGUUGCAAGCCAUAUCAGCAACUUGUACAGUGACAGAGUCUUGGCCCAUUUUAGGGAAGUUUUAAAGAGAUGCCAGAAACAGAGCUCUCUGGACAGUUUUUUUGCGAGACAGGACUCCAGCGACUCUCAAGCUGGUCCUAGUGGCAUUAAGAAACAAAGAGAAGAGAAGUAACCCCAGAAAAGCACUUGGUACCCGAGGUGUUGAUGGAAGGGGAUUCCCCUUCCAAACAGAAAUUCAAUCUCUCCUCCAGUCUUCCAUACACUAAGAAGAAUCACCAAUAAAGGUAAGUAUUAUGCUGUUAAUGUUUCAUUCAUCAUGUCCCAUUGUAUUGUUUAUGUACUACAUCUAUAUUUCAUGUAAAAAAUUUUUUUUGUUUUAAUACAUCUGGGUGUCAGGAACGGAUUAAUUGUAUUUACAUUAUUUCUUGUGGGGAAAAUUGAUUCGAAAAUCUUCUAUUUCGAUAAUAGCUCUACUUCCAGGAACGGAUUAUGGACGAUAAUUGAGGGACCACUGUACCUUGAAAUUGAGCUCAAAGUAGCGGAAAUGUUCGAUUUUUGUCGAUGUUCAAUGAACUUUGUUUUCCUACAUCACUGCAGGAUCACCUGAUUCAAAAAACUGUCCCACUGUACAUUCACCAGAAAGGAUUUCAUACCUGAAUAAGUGCAUUCAUCCUGAAAAAACAUCGCCAAACCUCCUAGAUAUGUCUGUAGCAGCCGCCUUGUUGAAUUCAGCCCAAUGACGUCGCGCAUGUGCAAUGAGACUCCCACCACCCACAGCCAUGGCAAUAGCGCCGGCCGCUACUUCCAUGGUACCGUCGAAAUAGUCACUCCAUUAUUCAUUUUAUAAAUUUAGUAUUUAGUCCUGAACUUUUAUGUACAUACUGUCACGUGAUCUUGCAAUCUGCUCAGUUUUUAAGUAUUCUGUGUUUACUUCAAAAUUUUAUAUAUUCUUAAACUGAAUGACAAUGAAUUGCAUGAUUUGUAAAAUAUUGUUCUGCACAUUUGUAGAAUCUGCACACAACUAGGUUAGGCUAGUAAAGAUUCAAUAUGGUGUAAUUAAUCACACUUUACCUUACUUCACUUGGAUAAAGAUUUUAGACAAAUGAUGUAAGGAAGGGUAAUCUUGCCUCGCCUAACUUGGUAAUGUGGUGAUGUAAAUGAUGUAGCAAACAUUAUAUUUCAAAAUAAUGUAAUUUGUUAUACAUUAGGGAAAUGCCCCCAGACAGAUAUUGGAUACAAAAUGUAGAAAGAAAUUAUCUUAGAUAUUAAAAAUUGAAUUACA
Molecule: long non-coding RNA, 2677 nt
Organism: Cherax quadricarinatus
Lineage: Eukaryota; Metazoa; Arthropoda; Malacostraca; Decapoda; Parastacidae
Source: RefSeq, a predicted model, not a curated record